GCUGCAGACACUGGGGAAGGGAGAGGGUGGCCCUGAUCCCGAUGACUCUGAAACAUGCUUGCCCUUCCCCAGAGGUUCCUGCUCCCAGCCCAGGCCCAGAUGGCGACACAAGCUCAUGGGGAGUGAAGGGACAGGAUGGAGCGGGGGUGGCGCCAAGGCACGGGGAGAACCAGAGGCCGCGGGAAUGGCAGACUCUGGACGUGCUCCUAGAGAUGGGAGGUCAAAAUGAUCAACGUCCAGGGUCCCUUCAUCUCAGAGGGUCUCGAGUCACUUCAUUUAAAGUAUGGCCUGGGAGAUCUCCCAUCCAGCCAUACGCUGCCCAGGACUGGCUCAACACCUCCCACCCACCACCGCUGGUUCACCCAUGACACGUCACCUCCCACCCGCCACUACUGGCUCACCUGUAACACCCCAGGCAGCUCAGAUGCCCAGCAGGUCCUGCUGGUGAGAGGGAGGCCGCAACCUGUCCUGUCUGGGACCUGGGCAUUGCUGGGCGCCGGAGGGACCUGGGACCUCAACCACACUGGGAGCUGGCCUGUCGUACAGGCGGUGCCUGGCAGAUGUGGAC
RNAcentral lists this long non-coding RNA (568 nucleotides) under Pongo abelii (Sumatran orangutan). RNAcentral's name for it is "lincRNA". Lineage: Eukaryota; Metazoa; Chordata; Mammalia; Primates; Hominidae. The record is from RNAcentral.